This 83-nucleotide non-coding RNA is filed under the name Thalassiothrix antarctica. The record is from RNAcentral. Lineage: Eukaryota; Bacillariophyta; Fragilariophyceae; Thalassionematales; Thalassionemataceae.
GAAGAUAGAAAUAUAAGAGAGAUAUACAUAUAAAAUGAUUAGAUAGCUAUUCUUCAUCUUACCUUUUUUUCCCUUUUGAUUUU